GAAAUGCGAUACGUAAUGCGAAUUGCAGAAUUCAGUGAAUCAUCAAAUUUUUGAACGCAACUUGCGCUGUUGGGUAGCCCCGACAGCAUGUUUCUCUGAGUAUCGAUUCUAACCCAACUCAUCUGCAUGUCGGAUGGAAAAUGAAGUGUCUUGUUUUUUCUCUAAACCGAAAGAACAAGUCCUUUUAAACAUAGUGUGCAUCUUUCACUUAACUGUAUCAGACUACCUAUUGGGUUCGCCCUUCAUCUAGCUGAUGUUGAUAAUUCAGUCCUCUUUAUUGGGGUAACUGUCUUUGACAUCGGGUCUAGGAAGAGUUUGAACUGUAGCCUUUGAUUCGAAAGAAGCCGUAACAAAGGAAUCAUCUUUUUUUUGAAUUUGAUCUCAGAUGAAGCAAGAUAAC
This 400-nucleotide unclassified non-coding RNA is filed under the name uncultured fungus. RNAcentral describes it as "sequence contains ITS1". The stretch from base 1 to 105 matches the Rfam family "5.8S ribosomal RNA", at positions 50 to 154 of the family's 154-position model. Lineage: Eukaryota; Fungi. The record is from RNAcentral.